UAGGGAAUCUUCGGCAAUGGGGGGAACCCUGACCGAGCAACGCCGCGUGAGUGAAGAAGGUUUUCGGAUCGUAAAGCUCUGUUGUUAAGGAAGAACGAGUGUGAGAAUGGAAAGUUCAUACUGUGACGGUACUUAACCAGAAAGGGACGGCUAACUACGUGCCAGCAGCCGCGGUAAUACGUAGGUCCCGAGCGUUGUCCGGAUUUAUUGGGCGUAAAGCGAGCGCAGGCGGUUAGAUAAGUCUGAAGUUAAAGGCAGUGGCUCAACCAUUGUAGGCUUUGGAAACUGUUUAACUUGAGUGCAGAAGGGGAGAGUGGAAUUCCAUGUGUAGCGGUGAAAUGCGUAGAUAUAUGGGGGAACACCGGUGGCGAGAGCGGCUCUCUGGUCUGUAACUGACGCUGAGGCUCGAAAGCGUGGGGAGCGAACAGG
This 429-nucleotide ribosomal RNA is filed under the name Bacteroidota bacterium. Its description in RNAcentral is "Bacteroidetes bacterium partial 16S ribosomal RNA". It matches the Rfam family "Bacterial small subunit ribosomal RNA", at positions 355 to 776 of the family's 1533-position model. Lineage: Bacteria; Pseudomonadati; Bacteroidota. The record is from RNAcentral.